AGAGUUUGAUCCUGGCUCAGGACGAACGUUGGCGGUGCGCUUAAUGCAUGCAAGUCGAGGGAGAAGCAGUCGUUCCGUAAGGUUCGAUUGUGGAAACCGGCGAACGGGUGCGUAACACGUGAGAAACCUGCCCCCCAGACCGGGAUAGCCCGAGGAAACUCGGAUUAAUACCGGAUACCCUCUUUGGAUCGCAUGGUCCAAUGAGAAAAGAGUCCGCUGCUGGGGGAUGGUCUCGCGGCCUAUCAGGUAGUUGGUGAGGUAACGGCUCACCAAGCCGAAGACGGGUAGCUGGUCUGAGAGGACGAUCAGCCACACUGGAACUGAGACACGGUCCAGACUCCUACGGGAGGCAGCAGCAGGGAAUAUUGCACAAUGGGCGAAAGCCUGAUGCAGCGACACCGCGUGCGGGAUGAAGGCCUUCGGGUUGUAAACCGCUUUCAGGAGGGAAGAAAAUGACGGUACCUCCACAAGAAGCUCCGGCUAACUACGUGCCAGCAGCCGCGGUAAUACGUAGGGAGCAAACGUUGUCCGGAUUUAUUGGGCGUAAAGGGCUCGUAGGCGGUUCAACAAGUCGGUCGUGAAAGCCCGGGGCUCAACCCCGGGACGCCGGUCGAAACUGUUGUGACUAGAGUUCGGUAGAGGUGAGUGGAAUUCUCGGUGUAGCGGUGGAAUGCGCAGAUAUCGAGAGGAACACCAUUAGCGAAGGCGGCUCACUGGGCCGAUACUGACGCUGAGGAGCGAAAGCGUGGGGAGCAAACAGGAUUAGAUACCCUGGUAGUCCACGCCGUAAACGAUGAACACUAGGUGUAGCGGACUGAUUCACGUCUGCUGUGCCGCAGCUAACGCAUUAAGUGUUCCGCCUGGGGAGUACGGCCGCAAGGCUAAAACUCAAAGGAAUUGACGGGGCCCCGCACAAGCGGCGGAGCAUGCGGCUUAAUUCGAUGCAACCCGAAGAACCUUA
This 961-nucleotide ribosomal RNA is filed under the name sediment metagenome. RNAcentral's name for it is "bacterial SSU rRNA". It matches the Rfam family "Bacterial small subunit ribosomal RNA", at positions 8 to 973 of the family's 1533-position model. The record is from RNAcentral.